RNAcentral lists this ribosomal RNA (460 nucleotides) under uncultured bacterium. RNAcentral's name for it is "partial 16S ribosomal RNA". It matches the Rfam family "Bacterial small subunit ribosomal RNA", at positions 338 to 795 of the family's 1533-position model. The record is from RNAcentral.
CCUACGGGAGGCAGCAGUGAGGAAUAUUGGUCAAUGGCCGGAAGGCUGAACCAGCCAAGCCGCGUGAAGGACGAAGGUGCCAAGCAUUGUAAACUUCUUUUGUCAAGGGACAAAAUCAGGCUCGAGAGCCUGACCGAGGGUACUUGAAGAAAAAGCAUCGGCUAACUCCGUGCCAGCAGCCGCGGUAAUACGGAGGAUGCGAGCGUUAUCCGGAUUUAUUGGGUUUAAAGGGUGCGUAGGCGGACUGUUAAGUCAGCGGUGAAAUCCCGAGGCUCAACUUCGGAAUUGCCUCUGAUACUGUUCGGCUGGAGUACAGGAGGGGCAGGCGGAAUUCCUAGUGUAGCGGUGAAAUGCGUAGAUAUUAGGAGGAACACCGGUGGCGAAGGCGGCCUGCUGGACUGUGACUGACGUUGAGGCCCGAAGGCGUGGGGAGCAAACAGGAUUAGAUACCCCAGUAGUC